RNAcentral lists this ribosomal RNA (253 nucleotides) under uncultured bacterium. Its description in RNAcentral is "partial 16S ribosomal RNA". It matches the Rfam family "Bacterial small subunit ribosomal RNA", at positions 524 to 776 of the family's 1533-position model. The record is from RNAcentral.
UACAGAGGUCUCAAGCGUUGUUCGGAUUCAUUGGGCGUAAAGGGUGCGUAGGUGGCGGGGUAAGUCAGGUGUGAAAUCUCGGAGCUCAACUCCGAAACUGCACUUGAUACUGCCUUGCUCGAGUACUGGAGAGGAGAUUGGAAUUUACGGUGUAGCAGUGAAAUGCGUAGAUAUCGUAAGGAAGUCCAGUGGCGAAGGCGGCUCACUGGACCGGAACUGACGCUGAGGCGCGAAAGCGUGGGGAGCAAACAGG